GAUGAACGCUGGCGGCGUGCCUAAUACAUGCAAGUCGAGCGAACGGACGAGAAGCUUGCUUCUCUGAUGUUAGCGGCGGACGGGUGAGUAACACGUGGAUAACCUACCUAUAAGACUGGGAUAACUUCGGGAAACCGGAGCUAAUACCGGAUAAUAUUUUGAACCGCAUGGUUCAAAAGUGAAAGACGGUCUUGCUGUCACUUAUAGAUGGAUCCGCGCUGCAUUAGCUAGUUGGUAAGGUAACGGCUUACCAAGGCAACGAUGCAUAGCCGACCUGAGAGAGUCAUCGGCCACACUGGAACUGAGACACAGUCCAGACUCCUACGGGAGGCAGCACUAGAGAAUCUACCGCAACGGGAGCAAGCCUGACGGGACAACGCCGCGUAGCUGAUGAAGGUCUUCGAAUCGUAAAACUCUGUUAUUAAGGAAGAACAUAUGUGUAAGUAACUGUGCACAUCUUGACGGUACCUAAUCAGAAAGCCACGGCUAACUACGUG
Molecule: ribosomal RNA, 497 nt
Filed under: uncultured bacterium
Lineage: Bacteria
Description: partial 16S ribosomal RNA
Rfam family: Bacterial small subunit ribosomal RNA
Source: RNAcentral